GCUGGGCAUAGUAGUGUAUGCCUGUAGUCCCAGCUACACGGGAGGCUGGGGCAGGAGGAUCCCUUGAGCCCACGAGUUUUGAGGCUGCAGUGAGCUGUGAUGGCGCUGCUGCAUUCCAACCUGGGCAACAGAGUGAGACCCUGUCUCUA
Pongo abelii (Sumatran orangutan) is the source of this 149-nucleotide unclassified non-coding RNA. It matches the Rfam family "Metazoan signal recognition particle RNA". Rfam says of the family: The signal recognition particle (SRP) is a universally conserved ribonucleoprotein. The record is from Ensembl. NCBI's taxonomy places the organism in Eukaryota, Metazoa, Chordata, Mammalia, Primates, Hominidae.